Molecule: small nuclear RNA, 117 nt
Filed under: Phaseolus vulgaris (common bean)
Lineage: Eukaryota; Viridiplantae; Streptophyta; Magnoliopsida; Fabales; Fabaceae
Description: snRNA U5
Rfam family: U5 spliceosomal RNA
About the family: U5 RNA is a component of both types of known spliceosome. The precise function of this molecule is unknown, though it is known that the 5' loop is required for splice site selection and p220 binding, and that both the 3' stem-loop and the Sm site are important for Sm protein binding and cap methylation.
Source: Rfam by way of RNAcentral
GAGCCAUGUUGUGACUACAUUGCGAACUAUUCUUUCGCCUUUUACUAAAGAAUACCGUGUAUUCAUAACUUGUAUGGCAUACAUAUAUUUUUGAAGGGUACCUUCCUAAUGGAAGGA